This 497-nucleotide ribosomal RNA is filed under the name uncultured bacterium. RNAcentral describes it as "partial 16S ribosomal RNA". It matches the Rfam family "Bacterial small subunit ribosomal RNA", at positions 28 to 507 of the family's 1533-position model. The record is from RNAcentral.
GAUGAACGCUGGCGGCGUGCCUAGUACAUGCAAGUCGAGCGAGCAGACGAGGAGCUUGCUCCUCUGACGUUAGCGGCGGACGGGUGAGUAACACGUGGAUAACCUACCUAUAAGACUGGGAUAACUUCGGGAAACCGGAGCUAAUACCGGAUAAUAUAUUGAACCGCAUGGUUCAAUAGUGAAAGACGGUUUUGCUGUCACUUAUAGAUGGAUCCGCGCCGCAUUAGCUAGUUGGUAAGGUAACGGCUUACCAAGGCAACGAUGCGUAGCCGACCUGAGAGGGUGAUCGGCCACACUGGAACUGAGACACGGUCCAGACUCCUACGGGAGGCAGCAGUAGGGAAUCUUCCGCAAUGGGCGAAAGCCUGACGGAGCAACGCCGCGUGAGUGAUGAAGGUCUUCGGAUCGUAAAACUCUGUUAUUAGGGAAGAACAAAUGUGUAAGUAACUAUGCACGUCUUGACGGUACCUAAUCAGAAAGCCACGGCUAACUACGUG